GGAGCUAUGAAAUAUCUGAGCUGAGCAAGUGAUGCACAAGGAGAUGGAAGCAGUCUGACCUUUACACAGUGACCUGGCUCAAAUAAUUUCAGGCUCUCAUUAAUCAGGCGAGCUCCACUUUCUCUCUGAGCUGCAAACAAGGCCACUGAAUGUCACACCAAGAGGCCAGCAUGUCUGUGAAGGGCAGAAACUGGAGCAGCCAAACAGCUGGAAGAGGCCAGCUAGAAUGAGGGAUGGGGAGAUUUGAUGGUGUCCUGUACAGGUUAGAUGUUAAUCUGAUGUGGUGCUCUUGGAGAAGCUUGCCUGAGUUAGGCACUUUCUCAGCACGUGGUGUGUGCUGCCCCUUCAAGCUGCAGGAGUCCCAGAAGAGGCCCUGCCUGGCUGCUGGGACUGCCCUGAGACUGCCUUCUCCUCCUCUUACCUCCACAGCUCUCCCGGCUUCUAUCCACAGCUGUGCUUCAGGUAAACAACCAGGGGCCUCCAGGGGUAGAGAACAUACCCAGACAGGUUCUGCUGCCUGUAGGCUUGACGUCCUUCCCCCACAACACGCCAUGCUUGCCAGGCUGGAAGACGGGCUCCGGAAACUCCGGAAACUCGGGAAACCUGGGCCUGUAGCUGGCAUGUGGAAAAGAGGCCUGGAAAAGCACCACUCCUGUCCAUGAAGCCCCACAUGGAACCAG
RNAcentral lists this long non-coding RNA (680 nucleotides) under Pongo abelii (Sumatran orangutan). Its description in RNAcentral is "lincRNA". Lineage: Eukaryota; Metazoa; Chordata; Mammalia; Primates; Hominidae. The record is from RNAcentral.